UUGAUUGAUUUCUGUGUGUUUGUGUUUAUAAAAUUUGUAUAUUUAAGUUUCCAGUCAUAUUUAUAAUAUUUCUAAAGUACGGAAAAUAUCAAACGAAGAGAUAACCAAGUUAAAGAAAUACAAUGAAGAAUUCCUAAUCAUACCCAUAGUAUAGGUAUUAAAGAAUAAAGUCUUCAAAUUUCAAGUACUUACUUGCAUGGAUAGGAAAUUGCCCGUCACAGCAGUAUAUAUGGACAUGACUAAAGCCUUCGAUCACGUGGAUCAUGUCAUUCUGCUAAAAAAAUUAGAGCUUUAUGGUAUAAGAGAAUAACCGAACUCCACUACCUAUCCCAUAAUGCGAGGUUCACAGUAAUUAUUCAACUUACAUGAAGCAGUCAGAAAGUUUAUUGAGAUUUGAGAAAUAAAGUUACACUCAUAAGUAGCAAAACAGUGGAUGAAGAAGUGUGGGAUUAUGAGUGAUUAUUUCAUUCUAAAGCAAACAUAAGCAAGUCUCGCUCACUGUCAUGAAAAUUCACAAUAACAAUCAACAAGAAAAACUUCAAGGAUACUGGCUAUGCUAACCAAUUCAUGGAAUUCUGUUAGUAUUUGAAAUUAUAAAUAGCUAUUUAUAUUGUAA
This is a long non-coding RNA of Ostrinia nubilalis (European corn borer), 616 nucleotides long. RefSeq lists it as uncharacterized. The record is from RefSeq and is a predicted model, not a curated record. NCBI's taxonomy places the organism in Eukaryota, Metazoa, Arthropoda, Insecta, Lepidoptera, Crambidae. The transcript is spliced from 3 exons.